Long non-coding RNA from Linepithema humile (Argentine ant), 340 nucleotides. RefSeq lists it as uncharacterized. The record is from RefSeq and is a predicted model, not a curated record. Lineage: Eukaryota; Metazoa; Arthropoda; Insecta; Hymenoptera; Formicidae.
UCCUAAAUCCAAAUGCCAGUAUGUGUUCAGUACGCGACCUGUGAAGAUAUAACAAACAUAGAGAGUUUCAUAACAUAGCGGAACAAUAUUGCUGCCGGCAUUGAACGCGGCAGGCGCAAAGGAAAUAUCAUUAACUCUGAAAGCCUUUGGAAAACAGAUUCAGUUAAACCUGCGUAGAAACGACGACAGAUUGUAUCGUCUGCGUUUAAAGUAUGGAAACAUAACGCAAAAGGUAUCACGAAAGAACUGUCAAAAUUAAACGCAAUGGAUUUUUGCUAUUAUCUUCACGAAUAUCAUAUAAGCAUCGCGGUCAUGAACUUCUGUCAGGAACAUGGAUUGA